GCAAGAAUAGCAAUCUGUUUGGGUAAUAUGCCUCUAGAGCUAUUGAGAGGUACUGAUGAGGUUUGAGGAGUUCGAGAAAAAAUAUAGUUGCUUUUACUGGCGGUUUUUAUCUCCUUGAAGCAGCUUUGGAUCGGAGCAUACACUUGAAGAAGCAAUUGGGAAGAUGUUAGCAGAUUAUAUAUAUGAAACCUUUUUUUAAGAGUUCUCUUUUACUUUCGAUCAAACCUCCUGUUCAGCGGUGAAGCUACUGGAAUCAUAUAAUUUUUGUGUAAAGACUUAUAAAAAUAAGUGGAUUGUUUAUUGGUAAAUAAAUACAUGUUUCAUUCUCUUUUUAAAUGAAAACCAUAUACUUGCAUACA
Molecule: long non-coding RNA, 359 nt
Organism: Solanum lycopersicum (tomato)
Lineage: Eukaryota; Viridiplantae; Streptophyta; Magnoliopsida; Solanales; Solanaceae
Source: RefSeq, a predicted model, not a curated record